This 634-nucleotide long non-coding RNA is filed under the name Brassica napus (rape). RNAcentral describes it as "long non-coding RNA (BNAP_LNC021918)". The record is from RNAcentral. Lineage: Eukaryota; Viridiplantae; Streptophyta; Magnoliopsida; Brassicales; Brassicaceae.
UUUGAAUUGUAGACCUGAACUCUCAACCGUGUGCGUAAAAUACCUUAACAUUACGUUAGUCAACCGUUAUCUUAAACAAAACGACGCCAUCUUGUAUCAGAGGAAAUCUUGAAAAAAUAACAAUUGUUGCAGAUCAAACCUUGGUUCCGCAGAUAACAAGCAAACUUAAUUACUACUGUGCUACGACAAUUCUUUUGUUUGUAUAUUAGAUUUAAAAUAUAUGUAGAUUGGGAUCCGUAUAUUCUAAAAUAAAAAUUAUUUUGUUUACACAUUUUGUUUAAUACAAAUUAUAAUUGCAUCAGUAAUUUCUGUAUUUUAAGUUUUUUACACUGUUAUACAUGUGAUAAAAUUUAAAAUGAUAUUUUAUAAAUUAUUCAAUCUAAUUUUAAAAUGACAUUUCUCAAAUAGUUAUCAAAUUUCAAAUAUUUAAAUUUAAAGAAUAUACAUAUAACAGUGGUUACAAAUUUUUUCUUAAAAAACAAAACUUAAUUUUUAAAAUAAACACUGUAAAUAAAUCUAAAUAAAAUCAUAUAAAACUUAAAAUACAUAGAUUUACUUUAAGUUCUAUAAAUUACAUCUAUAAUCUAUUUUAAGUUUUAUAUAAUUUUAUUUAGAUUUAUUUAAAGUGUUUAUU